CCUACGGGUGGCAGCAGUGGGGAAUAUUGCACAAUGGGCGGAAGCCUGAUGCAGCGACGCCGCGUGAGGGAUGACGGCCUUCGGGUUGUAAACCUCUUUCAGCAGGGACGAAGCGUAAGUGACGGUACCUGCAGAAGAAGCACCGGCUAACUACGUGCCAGCAGCCGCGGUAAUACGUAGGGUGCG
RNAcentral lists this ribosomal RNA (186 nucleotides) under uncultured bacterium. RNAcentral describes it as "partial 16S ribosomal RNA". It matches the Rfam family "Bacterial small subunit ribosomal RNA", at positions 338 to 536 of the family's 1533-position model. The record is from RNAcentral.